This is a long non-coding RNA of Dermacentor silvarum, 3250 nucleotides long. RefSeq lists it as uncharacterized. NCBI's taxonomy places the organism in Eukaryota, Metazoa, Arthropoda, Arachnida, Ixodida, Ixodidae. The transcript is spliced from 4 exons. The record is from RefSeq and is a predicted model, not a curated record.
AUCCUUUUUGUUGUGCUGCAUUCUUGAAGUCCUUUUAUGCCAGAAAACAUGUAAUUCUUAGUUUAUUAUCCCAGUGUACAAUGUAGUGCUACCUAUACAAAGUUAUUUGACUAUUUAGGCAUAACAUCAAAAUUGCAUACCAAAUCCGACUUUUAUUAUACCCAGCAGGGGUUUGUAUGUAUUCAGGUUAGUAAUGUAUGUUUAGAGAGAUAGGAACUGGUGUGAGACAUGUACUGUAUCGGGGUACUGUUGCCAUAACAAUAAUGUGUGUGUUGGGUUAUAGCAUGUGUGUUAGGUUGUCACGUAUAUUGCCUACAAUUGUGGUAAUCUUAUUUGAUUGCCAGGUCUAGCACUUUAGUCGAGGGAAGUGUUUUCAUUUGCAUCACCUUCCCAUGUUGCCUGUGACUUUGCAGGUUCCUUGCCUUUGGGGUCCCAAGAGAAGUACCGAUCGCUUGUGUGUCCGAAUGGCUUGCAGCAUUUCUGCGAGCUCUGCCCUUACAAGACCAAGAAAAAGGCAACCAUGAUCGCUCACCUGCGCACACACUCAGGGGAACGUCCAUUCAAGUGCCACUUCUGCCCAAAAGUGUUCACCCAAAAUUCCAUCCUCAAGCAACAUGUGUACAGCCACACAGGAGAGCGCCCCCACCAGUGCCACCUGUGCCCUGAAGCAUUCAUUCAGAGUUGCCACCUGACACGCCAUCUGCGUUACCACACGGGAGAGCGUUGCUUUUCCUGUGUGCACUGCAGUGCAUCCUUUUCACGAAAGCGCCAUCUGUCCAAUCACAUGUCCUGGCAUGCAGGGAAGAAGUCCUAAAGGUGGUUUGGAAAUGCGUCAAACACAGUCGGACAACUUCCGGGUUGCAGCCGUAUCGUCUGCCCGGUCCGGUCGAAACAACCUGGCGUGAAGUUCCUCGAACACAUGUGAUCGCCGUCUUCUUGCUUCCAGCCUUCACACCGAACAUCCUGCUUCCACGUGCUUCGCACAUUUGGGUCCUUCGGAAACCUGUUUGGAAAAAACAAUCACCGUCAGAUGUGGAAUUGCCGACAGAUUGCGAGCUGUCAGCAUGUGUUGCGACAGGCAGAGAAGUUUUCAUGAACUUCAAAAUGUGCUACUUACAAGUGAAACCUAAUCCCAGAGUCCUUUUUCGCUCGAUUUGUGCAGCCGUACGCAGUGCACGAUGUCAUUACAACGUCCGGAUGCCACUACACCGACUACACACUGCGGCUGCCGUGGCAGAAGGAGUGCUUUCUGCCAAUGCCAACAUGGCGGCGCGCGGCUUCAGCUCAGGGGCGUCCCCUUUGCUCCAGCAAGUUUUAUUUAAACCUCCUUGGUGCUCACAAACAUAUUUAAAACAGCGCCAAAAAACACGGACAAGAAAGAAUAAGGGACGAGCGCUUACUGCCAACAACACCUUUAUUGAAGCCUGCGCAAAUAUAUACAAUUCGCAAUAGGCAGAGAACAAAAAAGGUGAAAGGGAAGGCGAGCCACUGCGAGUAGAGCUGCUUCCCCCGAAUGCGAAAGGGUAGUUCUGGAGUGUGUUGAAGCACUUCCAUUGGGAACCUCUGGUCCCUGUCGACCCAAGGUAUCAACCGUCGUCGAAUCGCUGCAGAUUAGUGACUGUUAGUCGUGUCAGACAAAGAAGGCGGCUUUGUUGUAUGCCACUCUCAGCAAUAUCACCUUUCCGCAGAAUCCGCUCUCAAAGAAAAUUUCAAAGUUGCCGAUGGGUUCAAUCCUUCCAAGACCGAGAAGUUCGCCAUAGGCAGGAGGGAAGAAUCCGGUCUAGAAAAGUUGUCUAGUGCGAUGAAGCGCUCCAAGGAAAUGUGCCUUUCCGCCUUUUUUACUGUUAAAACUCACAAAAUUGGCAACCCGUGCAGAGUCAUGGUUUCGGAGGUGGGCACUUGGCAGAAGUGCCUCGGGUCCUACCUUUUGGAAGGUCUUAGGCAACUUCCGAUAAAUGACCCGUUUUUAGUACGCAACUCGACAGAGGUGACCAGUUCUUGAAGGAGUCAAGCAUCAAAAGAGCACAGGCAUUCUCGGUAGACAUCAAGGACUUGUAUUAUUCCCUUGCACAAGAUGACCUCUUCGCCGUUGAGAAAGAAGGCAUAGAAACGAUAGGCGAAGUCCGGUUCCAGAACGCAGUUGGCACCAACGUCACCAAUUUCCUGGACUUGCUGCAGGUUUACCUAAGAUCCACCGUUGUAGUGCAUAAUGAAGAGUACUAUGUGCAAAAGAACGGCAUAUGCAUAGGCUCUCGCAUUGCGCCAAUAAUGAGUGAUUUAUUGUUGGCGCACUAUGAUAGUCUCCUCCAGGAACAACUCAGCACAAGAGGGCCUGUGAAAGUGUUUCGUCAUGUUGAUGAUUUUCUGGUGAUCCUCCUUGCCCUCCCUAAUGAAGCUACAGCCCUGUUCGACCAAGUUUUUGAAAAAUUCAGGAGCAUCUAUCGAGGUUUGACGUUCACAAGGGAAUUGCCUGAAAACGGCAAAAUCCGCUUCCUUGACCUUGCACUACACCUCCAGGAGGGGCAUACUUGUUGGAUGUAUGCCCCGCGUUCAAAAAAGCACCUCCUCCCCUACACAUCCAACCAUUCAAAAGUGGUGAAGCGCUCCAUCGCCCUAGGGGCCCUUAGAAAUGCUGUCGUUAGCUCUUGCCCUCUCUUGAUGUCCAGCAGCUUCUCCAAUCAAGUCCAGCGGCUUAAGGCAAGUGGCUACCCUGCACAACUGCUGUCAUCCUUGACGGAAGCUUUAUUGCAAGAGGUUCAUUCCCCCAGGGAACAGCGUGCAGUGGUUGAGGAUUUAACCAAGACUGUUGCGAUCCUGUAUAUACAUGGUGUGUCCCAUCGCAUCAAGAAAGCCGCAGGGCGGGCUGGUGUAAAGGUGGUGUUUUAACAAGUUGGGAAGGCUGUGCAAAAAAAGUCGACGAUAGCCGGCGAACACCUGGACUGUGCAAUAAGCGACAUGUCGCCAAGCCUGUAGAUUGCAAUACCAAUGUAGUGUAUUCAAUUCCCACCUCUUGUGGCUGCACUUACAUAGGGCAAACGGGACGUUGUAUUAAUGAUCAUUUGCAUGAGAAUGCGUACUGUGUCAAGAUUAAGACUGGCAGUAAUCUUGCUGUUCAUUGUGCAAAGUGUGGGUGUUCACCACUCCUAGAUAACACACGUGUGUUAAGAAGGUACAGCGAUCAGAUGGCCAGGGAAAUUUUUUAGGCCUUUUCUAUGUGUCAGUUAGGAGCCACCUGUGUAAGUGCCCCAUC